Long non-coding RNA from Coturnix japonica (Japanese quail), 1708 nucleotides. RefSeq lists it as uncharacterized. The record is from RefSeq and is a predicted model, not a curated record. NCBI's taxonomy places the organism in Eukaryota, Metazoa, Chordata, Aves, Galliformes, Phasianidae.
AGCUGGCACUGUGCUAUGGUUUUAGUACUUGCAUUAUUUGCAAUGCGCAGCUUCCAGUCAUGAAAUGACAAACCCUGAGCAUUCAGUUGUGGACUCUGUCGCCCCUUCCCAAAGUUUCUUUAAAAAGAUGGAAUGAUGAAAGAUGAUGGAAAAACUGGAAGAUGAUGAAAGAACUGAAAAGAAGGAAGUUCUUCACAUGCAUCAACAAGCUAUUAAAAGGAGGAUGUGAUUUGGCCAUCUGAGGAUCUCUCAUCUGGCUUUGUCAAGCUUUCAGCUGGAUCUGAAGGCUGCAUCCUGUUCCAGCUGUAUCUGCACAAGAAAGGUAUCUUCUGUUUUAUCAUGGCUGAAAAAACUAAAGUGAAUGCUGGUGCUUUACAGUGCUGAGGCUGCUGCAGGAGGACAUCAGUGGGGAAAUUUGCCUGUGGAUUUUCAAGAAGGCUGAAGAUGAGCAGUGCUGGUAAACCUGAGCCAUCGGCUGACUCCUCAUUCCAGAAAAGUGUUCCAAGUUCAUCAUUGCUCCUCAGGAAGGGGAUGGCUCCUCAUACUCCAGUAAUACAAAGCGGUUUCUGAUUUGUGAGAGAAGAUGGGAACUGGGAAACAAGGAAUUUGACAGUGCUUCUGCCAAGCUGUUGAAACAAUGCUGCAACACCCCAGUCAGGACCGAAUGCUGAGAGAGCAACAGAGAAAUGAGAUUACCAUGAAACUGAGAGAACAGUGAUCUACAUCUUGCCACAGGCUCCCUGAUCCAGGAGUACCGGAUAUUGGCUGAUAGCUGAGGCAAGACAGCGCAUCCGUGGUGCAAAGCUCUGGAGAGGCGUUUCACGGCGAAACACCAUGAGCAUUGACCUCAGAUCCAGCUUUCUGCUCCGCAGGCCGAGUGCUCUGGAACUCCGGUUUGCCUGCUCCCAGGAGAGGGCAGUGGAGCCGCACACGCUCCGUGCUGCGGCCGACGGGCCGGUCUGUCCCCGUGGGGCUGCACGAGGAAUGCAUCCUAAGACAACAAGGAGCCUUGGCUGAAAACAGCAGAGUGUGGUUUUAAGCUCCGCUCCUGUCUUGCCUGGGUUCUGCAGCGACUGGAGAAGCACCGAAACUGGAACAUCACCAAAGGCACUGAGCAACUGAGCCAGCCUUUCUCAGCUGGGCACAAGGUGCUGCAGGAAUGGAGCGGAGCCUGGGAGGCAGAUGACAGCAUUUGAGACCAUCACAGAGGUAAGUCCGCGCUCCAUAGAGGUACCUGAGCAGAUGCUGUAAUGGACUUAAACCCGCAAAUACUGCGAUCUGCAGUUAGAAAUACAAGGCGGAAAUUGGUUUAGCCAUUCAGUGUGUGCUUUGGCUUGUUGCUCUGGAGGAGGAGUGUGCUUUUGUGGCAUGUUGUACGUGGCUGCGUCGUACUGCUGCUCGGGCUGUUGAUGUUUUCUAUUCCUGUGUGCCUCUGACAAGGGGCCUUGCAUGCUACAGAUCAUAUGGGAGAGUUGUUUUCCUGAAAGUGGGAAUAAACAGUCAGAUGAAAUAUUCCCAAGUAAUGAGAUUAGCGGCAAGAAUGUAACAUGGGAUGUGGCUUUCAACAAUAAUUACAUCUGACACCCUCAUCAGCAAGGAGAUGUAGGGGCUGCGAGCUCUGAGCUUGGGAACAGCGUAUGAAAGACUGGCUUCUCUUGGGAAGGGAGGCACGGGGGAGGUUAUUUUUAGCACUCGGGAAAAAAGCAAG